AUGGGUAGGGGGGUUUCCCAUACGGGUUGAAGCAUGACCGUAAGGACAUGUGGACAGUAUGGGAGUGAGAAUGUUGGCAUGAGUAGCGAGAUGUGGGUGAGAAGCCCACAGGCCGUAAACCCAAGGUGUCCAGGGGAAGGUUCGUCCGCCCUGGGUUAGUCGGGACCUAAGCUGAGGCCGAAAGGCGUAGGUGAUGGACAACAGGUUGAUAUUCCUGUACUACCGAUAACCGUUUGAGAGA
Molecule: ribosomal RNA, 241 nt
Filed under: Clostridioides difficile
Lineage: Bacteria; Bacillati; Bacillota; Clostridia; Peptostreptococcales; Peptostreptococcaceae
Description: partial 23S ribosomal RNA
Rfam family: Bacterial large subunit ribosomal RNA
Source: RNAcentral